RNAcentral lists this microRNA (22 nucleotides) under Bombyx mori (domestic silkworm). Its description in RNAcentral is "bmo-miR-13b-5p". Its record names the gene bmo-miR-13b-5p. The record is from miRBase by way of RNAcentral. Lineage: Eukaryota; Metazoa; Arthropoda; Insecta; Lepidoptera; Bombycidae.
UCGUAAAAAUGGCUGUGUCGUG